UUUUGGGAGCUCACUGGCUUCGGAGUCAGGACAACUCCAAAAUUAAGUGAGUUGGGACAAGAGCAAUCCCAGGAUGGGUGACCCACUGGGAAGUUGCUCAUGAGCUCCCAGAAA
RNAcentral lists this ribosomal RNA (114 nucleotides) under Prunus dulcis (almond). The record is from RNAcentral. Lineage: Eukaryota; Viridiplantae; Streptophyta; Magnoliopsida; Rosales; Rosaceae.